Long non-coding RNA from Capsicum annuum, 1621 nucleotides. RefSeq lists it as uncharacterized. Lineage: Eukaryota; Viridiplantae; Streptophyta; Magnoliopsida; Solanales; Solanaceae. The transcript is spliced from 5 exons. The record is from RefSeq and is a predicted model, not a curated record.
GUUUGUAAGAAAAAAAAAGUUUAUCUAAGGUUGGAAAGAAAAUGCCAGGGACUCGUGAAAUUUGAGGCUCAGAGAAUAAAAUGCGGGUGCUUGCUAUAUUAAAUGAAAAAUGUCUAGGAAUGUCUAGCUAGAAGAAGAUUCUUCAAGGAGAGAGUACAAUGGAUAAGGUGGAUGAAAGUGAAGACGAGUGGAGUAUGUGCAAGAAAAAGCCAAGUUUGUCCAAGGAUGCAGAGAAUAGGACAUCUGUACGACGUGCUACUGGUUCAUUCAAGAGAUACGGAGAUUACAAUGUUGAUGAGUGGGAAGAUGAUACUGAUGAUUAUGCGGUUUUCCCACUAUGUUAUGGACAUCAUAUACCCAGUAAUACAAAAAGCCGGGGAGCUGAUGUUUCACCUGAGUCGAAACCCAAAAAUAUUCCAAAAGAUGUAAUAAAAAUUUUAGGAAAGUUAUCUGCUUGUAGUUCAUUACCUUCCUGGGCGCCUGCUAAAUUAAAUGGAGAACAGUGUCUAGGAAUUCCAAGCAAGAAAAAGAGUCCUCGAGCAAAUAGUACAAUGGAUAAAGUGGAUAACAGUGAAGAUGAGUGGAAUGUGUGCAAUGAAAAAUCAAGUUUGUCCAAUGAUGGAAAAAAGAAGCAGAGAAUUUAUGAAAAAGAUACAGAGAAUAAAAGGACAUCUGUAAGACAUGCUGCUGCAUCACUCAAGAGAUACAAUCAUAAUUACUUUGUUGGUGAGUGGAAAGAUGAUUCUGAGUAGUAUGAGGUUUUGCCAAUUAGCGAUGGACAUCAUACACCAAGUAAAACAAGAAGCCAGAGAAGUGAAGUUUCACAUGAGUCAAAACUAAAAGAUAGUCCAAAAGAUUCAAUAAAUAAUUCAGGGAAGUUAUCUGCUUGUAGUUCAUUGCCUUCCACCUCAUCGUCCUCCGGUUCCACAAUUUCAAGAAAUGGAAUAGAUGGAUCUAAGAACAUGAAGGUAAAUUGUCUGGCAGUAAAUUAAAAUCAAUGUAGAAGAACUGUUGUUCCUUGUACGAAGUGUAAAGAGAAAUUUUACUGUAUCAAGUGCAUCAUGGAAUGGUAUCCUGAAUUGGAAGAAGAGGAAGUCUCAGAGCUUUGUCCAUAUUGUCAUAGAAAAUGUAACUGCAACUUGUGCUUACACUCAAUUGGCAUUCUAGAGACAUCAAGAAGGGAUAUCACUGAUCGUGAAAAGAUUGAGCAUUUGCACUAUUUGAUUAUCACGCUUCUUCCCUUUCUAAAAGAAAUCCAUCACGAACAAUUUUAAGAGAUAGAACUGGAGUCUUGUAUUCGUGUUUUUAUCACAGGGGUAUCUUCAUCUUCAUUUGAAAUUAGACGAUCACUUUGUCAUAAUGAUGAGCGAGUUUACUGGUAAUGUAUCUUCUCUCUUGUUCUCUUUUUUUCUUCCAGCUAUUAUGAAAUGUUAUGAUUGCAGACCUUAUUUUUGGAGGUUUUAUGCUUAUUGAUUUCUUGGCCUUGGAGCAGCAACAACUGCUCAACUUCAAUUGUCCAUCUUCAUCGGAGCUGCCCAGAUUGCUCAUAUGAGCUAUGUCUAAGCUGAUGCCAAGAGCUUCGGAGAGGCAUGUUUCCAGAAAAGAUUUGUAAAGCAAUUUA